GUUCCUGUAAUUCAAGGGAUAGAAUCUCUGACUUCUAAUCAGAAUAUCUUAGUUCGAGUCUAAGCAGGAACA
RNAcentral lists this transfer RNA (72 nucleotides) under Caudoviricetes sp. RNAcentral describes it as "tRNA-Arg". It matches the Rfam family "tRNA". From Rfam's summary of the family: Transfer RNA (tRNA) molecules are approximately 80 nucleotides in length. Their secondary structure includes four short double-helical elements and three loops (D, anti-codon, and T loops). Further hydrogen bonds mediate the characteristic L-shaped molecular structure. tRNAs have two regions of fundamental functional importance: the anti-codon, which is responsible for specific mRNA codon recognition, and the 3' end, to which the tRNAs corresponding amino acid is attached (by aminoacyl-tRNA synthetases). tRNAs cope with the degeneracy of the genetic code in two manners: having more than one tRNA (with a specific anti-codon) for a particular amino acid; and 'wobble' base-pairing, i.e. permitting non-standard base-pairing at the 3rd anti-codon position. Lineage: Duplodnaviria; Heunggongvirae; Uroviricota; Caudoviricetes. The record is from RNAcentral.